RNAcentral lists this ribosomal RNA (468 nucleotides) under uncultured bacterium. RNAcentral's name for it is "partial 16S ribosomal RNA". It matches the Rfam family "Bacterial small subunit ribosomal RNA", at positions 28 to 507 of the family's 1533-position model. The record is from RNAcentral.
GACGAACGCUGGCGGCGUGCUUAACACAUGCAAGUCGAACGGAAAGGCCCUGCUUUUGUGGGGUGCUCGAGUGGCGAACGGGUGAGUAACACGUGAGUAACCUGCCCUUGACUUUGGGAUAACUUCAGGAAACUGGGGCUCAUACCGGAUAGGAGCUCCUGCUGCAUGGUGGGGGUUGGAAAGUUUCGGCGGUUGGGGAUGGACUCGCGGCUUAUCAGCUUGUUGGUGGGGUAGUGGCUUACCAAGGCUUUGACGGGUAGCCGGCCUGAGAGGGUGACCGGCCACAUUGGGACUGAGAUACGGCCCAGACUCCUACGGGAGGCAGCAGUGGGGAAUAUUGCACAAUGGGCGGAAGCCGGAUGCAGCAACGCCGCGUGCGGGAUGACGGCCUUCGGGUUGUAAACCGCUUUCGCCUGUGACGAAGCGUGAGUGACGGUAAUGGGUAAAGAAGCACCGGCUAACUACGUG